GAUGAACGCUGACAGAAUGCUUAACACAUGCAAGUCUUUGGCGAAGCUGUGCUUGCACAGCCUAGCCAAGGCGGACGGGUGAGUAACGCGUAAGGAACUUGCCCUGCAGUCAGGGAUAACAGACGGAAACGACUGAUAAGACCUGGUAAAGUCAGGCGGACUCAUGUCCAGCCUGAUGAAAAGUGAUGCUGCAGGAGAGCCUUGCGUCCUAUUAGCUUGUUGGUGGGGUAACGGCCCACCAAGGCAAUGAUAGGUAGCCGGCCUGAGAGGGUGGACGGCCACAAGGGGACUGAGGUACGGCCCUUACUCCUACGGGAGGCAGCAGUGGGGAAUAUUGGACAAUGGGGGCAACCCUGAUCCAGCAAUUCUGUGUGCACGAUGAAGGUUUUCGGAUUGUAAAGUGCUUUCAGCAGGGAAGAAAAAAAUGACGGUACCUGCAGAAGAAGCGACGGCUAAAUACGUGCCAGCAGCCGCGGUAAUACGUAUGUCGCAAGCGUUAUCCGGAAUUAUUGGGCAUAAAGGGCAUCUAGGCGGCCAGAUAAGUCUGGGGUGAAAACUUGCGGCCCAACCGCAAGCCUGCCCUGGAAACUAUGUGGCUAGAGUACUGGAGAGGUGGACGGAACUGCACGAGUAGAGGUGAAAUUCGUAGAUAUGUGCAGGAAUGCCGAUGAUGAAGAUAGUUCACUGGACGGUAACUGACGCUGAAGUGCGAAAGCUAGGGGAGCAAACAGG
RNAcentral lists this ribosomal RNA (732 nucleotides) under uncultured Leptotrichia sp. RNAcentral describes it as "bacterial SSU rRNA". It matches the Rfam family "Bacterial small subunit ribosomal RNA", at positions 28 to 776 of the family's 1533-position model. The record is from RNAcentral. Lineage: Bacteria; Fusobacteriati; Fusobacteriota; Fusobacteriia; Fusobacteriales; Leptotrichiaceae.